GGAGGAGUAGGGUGAGCAGGACGAGCCCGGCCGAGGACAGGUAGGUGCCGCAGGAGCGCCAGGGGAUGGUGGCUCGCUGACGCAUCACCUGUGACAGGUUGUCGUCAUCAUCGCUCUCCAGGGAUUCCUCUGAGACAGAGAACAACUCAGAAACACAGGACAGGAGAAAAGAGAAAGAAAAAAAAAGAGAGGGUCAGAGGAGAGGAGAACCCACAGGCUACAGGCUACUGUAUCUACUGUCUACUCUACAUCACCAAGCAGAUGCUCAUUCCCAUGAAUGGCGUGUUUUUCAGGGGCAACGGAGCAGCCAAGACACACUGACUGUUGAUGAGGAGCUAAUGUUAACGACCUCCUGCCCCCACCCCCACCCCUGAUGUAAA
Long non-coding RNA from Lates calcarifer (barramundi perch), 380 nucleotides. RefSeq lists it as uncharacterized. The transcript is spliced from 2 exons. NCBI's taxonomy places the organism in Eukaryota, Metazoa, Chordata, Actinopteri, Centropomidae. The record is from RefSeq and is a predicted model, not a curated record.